RNAcentral lists this ribosomal RNA (512 nucleotides) under uncultured Coxiella sp. RNAcentral describes it as "bacterial SSU rRNA". It matches the Rfam family "Bacterial small subunit ribosomal RNA", at positions 26 to 528 of the family's 1533-position model. The record is from RNAcentral. Lineage: Bacteria; Pseudomonadati; Pseudomonadota; Gammaproteobacteria; Legionellales; Coxiellaceae.
AGAACGAACGCUGGCGGCAAGCCUAACACAUGCAAGUCGAACGGCAGCGCGGGAAGCUUGCUUCCUGGCGGCGAGUGGCGGACGGGUGAGUAACACGUAGGAAUCUACCUUGUAGUGGGGGAUAACCCGAGGAAACUCGGGCUAAUACCGCAUAAUUUCUUCGGAACAAAACGGGGGAUCUUCGGACCUCGUGCUACAAGAUGAGCUUGCGUCGGAUUAGCUAGUUGGUAGAGGUAAUGGCCUACCAAGGCGACGAUCCGUAGCUGGUCUGAGAGGACGAUCAGCCACACUGGGACUGAGACACGGCCCAGACUCCUACGGGAGGCAGCAGUGGGGAAUAUUGGACAAUGGGGGAAACCCUGAUCCAGCAAUGCCGCGUGUGUGAAGAAGGCCUUCGGGUUGUAAAGCACUUUCAGUGGGGAAGAAAGUCUCAAGGCUAAUACCCUUGGGCGUUGACGUUACCCACAGAAGAAGCACUGGCUAACUCUGUGCCAGCAGCCGCGGUAAUACGA